Molecule: ribosomal RNA, 301 nt
Filed under: uncultured bacterium
Lineage: Bacteria
Description: partial 16S ribosomal RNA
Rfam family: Bacterial small subunit ribosomal RNA
Source: RNAcentral
CAGUCGCCGCGGGAAUACGUAGGUGGUAAGCGUUGUCCGGAAUUAUUGGGCGUAAAGCGCGCGCAGGCGGAUCAGUCAGUCUGUCUUAAAAGUUCGGGGCUUAACCCCGUGAUGGGAUGGUAACUGCUGAUCUAGAGUAUCGGAGAGGAAAGUGGAAUUCCUAGUGUAGCGGUGAAAUGCGUAGAUAUUAGGAAGAACACCAGUGGCGAAGGCGACUUUCUGGACGAAAACUGACGCUGAGGCGCGAAAGCCAGGGGAGCGAACGGGAUUAGAUACCCCUGUAGUCCCUGUCUCUUAUACA